AUUGAACGCUGGCGGCAUGCUUUACACAUGCAAGUCGAACGGCAGCGCGGGCUUCGGCCUGGCGGCGAGUGGCGAACGUGUGAGUAAUGCAUCGGAACGUGCCCAGUAGUGGGGGAUAGCCCGGCGAAAGCCGGAUUAAUACCGCAUACGACCUGAGGGUGAAAGCGGGGGACCGAAAGGCCUCGCGCUAUUGGAGCGGCCGAUGUCGGAUUAGCUAGUUGGUGGGGUAAAGGCUUACCAAGGCGACGAUCCGUAGCUGGUCUGAGAGGACGACCAGCCACACUGGGACUGAGACACGGCCCAGACUCCUACGGGAGGCAGCAGUGGGGAAUUUUGGACAAUGGGGGCAACCCUGAUCCAGCCAUGCCGCGUGCGGGAAGAAGGCCUUCGGGUUGUAAACCGCUUUUGUUCGGGAAGAAAUCCUCUGGGCUAAUACCCCGGGGGGAUGACGGUACCGGAAGAAUAAGCACCGGCUAACUACGUG
Molecule: ribosomal RNA, 484 nt
Filed under: uncultured bacterium
Lineage: Bacteria
Description: partial 16S ribosomal RNA
Rfam family: Bacterial small subunit ribosomal RNA
Source: RNAcentral